This 253-nucleotide ribosomal RNA is filed under the name uncultured bacterium. RNAcentral describes it as "partial 16S ribosomal RNA". It matches the Rfam family "Bacterial small subunit ribosomal RNA", at positions 524 to 776 of the family's 1533-position model. The record is from RNAcentral.
UACGAAGGGGGCUAGCGUUGCUCGGAUUGACUGGGCGUAAAGGGCGCGUAGGCGGUUCGUACAGUCAGACGUGAAAUUCCUGGGCUCAACCUGGGGGCUGCGUUUGAUACGUGCGGACUUGAGUGCGGAAGAGGGUCGUGGAAUUCCCAGUGUAGAGGUGAAAUUCGUAGAUAUUCGCAAGAACACCAGUGGCGAAGGCGGCUCACUGGCCCGGUACUGACGCUGAGGUGCGAAAGCGUGGGGAGCAAACAGG